RNAcentral lists this long non-coding RNA (314 nucleotides) under Cricetulus griseus (Chinese hamster). Its description in RNAcentral is "lncRNA (ENSCGRG00015040151.1)". The record is from RNAcentral. Lineage: Eukaryota; Metazoa; Chordata; Mammalia; Rodentia; Cricetidae.
GGGAGGGUGUGGCUAUGAGCAACUGACUCAUGCCAAGCCCAGAAACGAGAACUCCGGGGGCUUUGUUUCCUUCCUUGGUCUGCACCACCACACCUGGUCUAUGUAGCAGUGGAGAUCCAACCCAAACCUUCGUUCUUGCUAGGCAAGUACUCUACAAGAGAGCGGUAUCCUCGGACCAAAGCAAAGGCUUCCUUCCUGUGUUGUCUCACGCAGAAGGCAGACUGCGCAGGAAGCACGAUGGUGACUUCGUGUGAAUGUACAUGUAUGUGUGUGUGUGCAUGUCUGUGAGGGAACGAGGGAGAGGGAGAGAAAGC